UCGAAAAAACAUGAAAAAAAACAAAAAUUACCUCAAUUCCAAAGUCUUUCAAGUCAAAAUAAAUCUUCAAUUGCAAUCAAAAUAUGUAGUCUAAUUUGAUUAGAUACACGUGACACUAAUAAAAAAAAUCAAAUUUAUUUGAACUAAAAUAAUAUCAACAAUGGUUUAGAGAAAGUAAUAAAAGUGAGGGUUAGAUAUUUUUUUUAGAAUGAAAAAAUGAAAUUAACAGAAUUGCGUCAAGUGAAAUCAGAUUGCAUUUUAGCAACCGUGAAAAAGAAACAUGCUUGAGAUUUUAUCGCCGGGUAUUGUACAAUAAGGACUUUCAUCAUAUGGCUACCGAUCGCUUCCUGGUUAUAUGUUCAUACGCUUACGAUGUAAGUACUAUACGAAAUGUAAGUACUACACGUUCAUACGCUUCCUUCACUAGAAAUGUUUUUUUUUUGGGUUCUAUUACGAGGAGACUAAUUUUCGGUGCGAUUUUGCAUGAGUAUCUCGAUGGCAACAUCCCUCCCACUUGAGGUUUUUUCUAUAUCCAAGGUUCAAAAUCGAGACCUUGGUUAAGUAGCAAGAGUCGCUUAACCACUCAUGCCAACCUCAGUGGGUUCGUUCCUUCGCUAGGAAUGUGGGUGUUACUUUCUAACUUUCCAUUUUGGAGCAAUGUGGGUUUUUCUUUCUAACUGUCUAUUUUGGAGCAAUGUGUGCUUGUAAUUACUGGCGUCCAGUUUAGGUUGUACGUGUGGUUUUUAUUGUGUGGCUUGAGGGCAAUUUGUUCCGGUGUAGUUUUGUCGUGGAGAUGACUGUUCAAGUGUGUAUUGAUUGUUGUAGCGUUGUCAACGAUCUCGUACUCGGAAGAGUGUGGCUUGUGAGAGUCUCGCUGUCUUCAGGCCUGGUCAUUAAUGGAUGCAUAGGUAUACAUGUAUCUCUACAUGCAUAUUACAUGAAACGACGACGUUUCUUAAUAAAAGAAACACGCUCUAUUUAUAUUACCUGCCCAGAUUUUUUGCCAUUUUCUCUCUCCUCUAACCUCUCUCCAUUUUUCUCUCUCCUCUAACCUCUCCCCAAUUCCUCUCUCCAGGAUCUCGAAUUUGCAGAUGACUUCGCCGGAGUUCAGAGUUUCAAAGAACGACGUCGGAGAACGCGUUUGCUAGAUCGGAGUCGUUUUGAGCUGGAGAAGAAGAUGAAGAGGCGCUUCAUUGGGAGGCGGUUGAGAGGCUUCCUACCUACGCUAGGGUUCGCCGUGGAGUUAACCGGAAGGUUCUAGGUGAUAUUAAAGAGAUCCAUGUUGGUAAACGUGAAGCUGAUGAAAAUUAUUUUGGAUCGACUUUUUAACUCCGUUGAGAAUGAUACCGAGUUGUUCUUCGAACUGAUUUGAAGAUUCGCCGAUGAGACCAUAGCAGAAUUUAACAAGGAGGAAAAUAGACAGAAUCGGAGAAGAAGUGGAGGAGAAGUUGGUGAACUCAAUCCGUCUGCAUUUGGUGGUAGAAAAUUUAUCGACGAAGAAGGGAAAAUAAGAACUAUUAAGAUGGAGAAAAGUUGCAGAUGAGAGAGAAAGAAACAUAGAGGAAAGAGGAACAUAGAAGAAGAAAAAGAUUCAUCAAUGUUCAUAUUUUUUAUUUGUUUAUUUUCCGAAUAAUAAUUUUCUACCGAAAUGUAGCGUAGUGAUUAAACUUGUGCAGACGUACUAGAGUUUUUGAUAUAUUAAUUAAUAUUAUUUAAUUAGUCUAAAUAUUAUUUCUCAAAAGAUAAGUAUGAAGAAUGAUAUUUUUUUCA
Long non-coding RNA from Spinacia oleracea (spinach), 1770 nucleotides. RefSeq lists it as uncharacterized. The record is from RefSeq and is a predicted model, not a curated record. Lineage: Eukaryota; Viridiplantae; Streptophyta; Magnoliopsida; Caryophyllales; Amaranthaceae. The transcript has 3 exons.